RNA transcript from Populus euphratica (Euphrates poplar), 2427 nucleotides. It is a transcript of the gene named RNA-binding (RRM/RBD/RNP motifs) family protein, with no coding region annotated. The transcript is spliced from 9 exons. The record is from RefSeq and is a predicted model, not a curated record. NCBI's taxonomy places the organism in Eukaryota, Viridiplantae, Streptophyta, Magnoliopsida, Malpighiales, Salicaceae.
GAGUUUGGCUUCUCUUUUAGCUGUUUUUUUUUUAAUACAUCAGCGUCAGCUGGCCUAAACUGCCGUCUCCUCUUUCACCAGCCGCCGUGACAUCCGCCGUCUCUCCAAACAUGGGCGUCCCAAGAUUCACACGGCCCAAAAGACCGGCAACCGAUUCACCGAGUCCUUAUCUCUACGUAGCCAACUGUGGACCAGCGGUUGGGAUUUCUUAUGACACAAUUGCUUCCGUGUUUAACACCUUUGGAGAGGUGAAAGGAAUUUACGCAGCAGAUGAAAGCGGAACACGUGUUAUAGUUUCUUAUUCCGAAGCUAAUUCUGCCCAACAAGCUCUUACUGCACUGAAUGGGAAACCUUGUGCCGAUCUUGGUGGCAGGUCUUUGCAUAUUCGGUAUUCAGUUAUUCAACCAAAUUGUGAGGCUGACAGCCAGCAGGUUAAUGAGCACGUUCCUGUUUCACUGCUGGCUUCGGAGGUUAAUAUUCCUGGGCUUUAUCUGGUUCAUGAGUUUCUCAGUCCUCAGGAAGAAAAGGAGUUACUGGCAGCAGUUGAUGAAAGGCCUUGGAUAAGUCUAUCUAAAAGGAGGGUGCAGCAUUAUGGAUAUGAAUUUUGUUACGGAACAAGGAAUGUUGAUACAAAACUGCAUUUGGGCGAACUUCCAUCAUUUGUUUCUUCGAUACUUGAAAGGAUUUCAUUGUUUCCUGGCCUUAACAGUUCUACAAGCAUACUCUUGGACCAACUCACAGUAAACGAGUACCCACCUGGGGUGGGCUUGUCUCCACACAUAGACACCCAUUCUGCAUUCGAGGGAUUGAUUUUUAGCCUUUCAUUAGCAGGGCCUUGCAUCAUGGAGUUCAGGAGAUACUUGGAUGGUUCAUGGGUUCCUGAUGCUGCCUCUAGUGCUUAUACAAAGGUGGAAAAUGUUGACAACUGCUCAAAUCUAGUUAGGAGGUCUCUUUAUCUUCCUCCUCGGUCCAUUCUUCUGUUAUCUGGGGAAGCACGCUAUGCUUGGCAACAUUACAUUCCACACCAUAAGAUUGACAUGGUAAAUCAAAGUGCGAUCAGAAGGGGUGCAAGAAGGGUAUCAUUUACAUUUCGUAAGAAAAACUCUGCAACUUGCUUCAAUCAAGACCUUUAUUGGAAUGAUAUGACAUACUGUACAAAAAAGGAAGAGACAACCAACAUUUUUCUUAUCGACUACUAGCACAAAGAAUGAGUAGCGGCAGUGGUGCCAUCGGAAAGUACAUGUUUAAUGCAACUUUUAAAGGAUCUUCAUCAAUCUGGUGGUUAUGUAAUCCCUCUACAUUGCACAUAACAAUAAGUCAACUAUUUGUUUGUCUGAAAAUCUUACAUUUCAUGCAAAAGCAAAGGAUAUGGAAGUGCAUUAACCCUGUUUGAGCAGGUAGGUAGUACAAGAAGAGUUAGAUCUACAAUAAUUUGCCACAAAGAACAAAGUGGCUGGUAAAUUCACUGAAGGACACAAUAGGAAGCAACGAGCUUGUGGAGUUUGGAUCAUGGCUCAGAAUUACAAUGAGAAAAUCAUUUUUGAAGGGGUGUGUUGAGGAUCAAGAACAAACCCUUGGUUGAAGAAGCAGCGUUAAAGCUAGCUAGCAAUAAUUAAUUAUGAAACCAAGGUCUGGUCCAUUAUAUAUAAGAGUUAAUUUAAACAAAUAUUUAUUGACCAACUUUCUCAUUAUGUAGCUGUACUUCAAAAGAAGUUGCUCCCAGCCAUAAGGGAAGUCUUCUCCAACGGUACUAAGAGGUCCUUGCCAAUGCGAAUUUCCACAAUACUGUGAUUCAGAAAGAUAGGAGAAGCUGUUGGGUGCCAUUUGAGGUAAUCGACCGAGCUUUUUGACAUAGAGUGUGCUAUAACUAUAUUUAUGAGCGUGUUAUAUAACAAGACCAAGUCUGAAGAAAAGUCCACGAAGAAAUCCGGAAGCAUCUAAUAUGAAAAACUUGGAGUUGUUGUUAUAAUUAUUUUUCUUGCCUUCAAAUUGGAGGCAAUAGGAAACAAUGAAGGAAACAGAAAGUUGGCGCAAAAAAUGGCCAUUUAAAGUAGAACGAGUGAUUAAAGCUAACACUUAUCACCUGUAGGACAAGCAAAGAAACAAUUUCCCCUGUGCGUGGCACUCCAACCAUUUAAAGGCUGUUCCUUCAGCACGAGUAGGGAUGAUCUCAUCAUAGUCAAGAAAAGGACCAGUAAAGGCAUGUUAUAGGUCCACAGGGUUCCUCCUAAGCUCUAUUAUCAAAAUAAGCAUCACCCAUCAGAAGCAAGAACUCAUCAUCCAUGAUAUCACAACAAGCCAUUGUAAUGCCAUACAUGCCCGCCUGAGGCAACCCAGGUGUGUUGGCUGCGCCAUCGGGUUUUUCUGGAUCCUUUAGUAUAGUUUUUAUAUAUUUAUGUGUAUUUUUUUAUUUGUUAGAAUAUUUUU